CCUACGGGAGGCAGCAGUUGGGAAUUUUGCACAAUGGACGAAAGUCUGAUGCAGCAACGCCGCGUGCGGGAUGAAGAUUUUCGGAUUGUAAACCGCUUUUAUUUGGGAGUAACUGUUUGAACGUACCAAAUGAAUAAGCACCGGCUAACUCCGUGCCAGCAGCCGCGGUAAUACGGAGGGUGCAAACGUUGUCCGGAAUUACUGGGCGUAAAGCGCAUGUAGGUGGUCUAAUAAGUGAACGAUUAAAUACCGACGCUUAACGUCGGAAAGGUUAUUCAUACUGUUAGACUCGAGGAAGACAGGGGCAGAUGGAACUUUAAGUGUAGGAGUGAUAUCCGUAGAUAUUUAAAGGAACACCAAUGGCGAAGGCAGUCUGCUGGGUCUUUUCUGACACUGAGAUGCGAAAGUGUGGGGAGCAAACGGGAUUAGAUACCCCGGUAGUCCACACUGUAAACGAUGCUCACUAGGUCUUGGAGGGUAUCGACCCCCUUUUGGACCGAAGCUAACGCGUUAAGUGAGCCGCCUGGGGAGUACGAACGCAAGUUUAAACUAAUGAAUUGACGG
Molecule: ribosomal RNA, 564 nt
Filed under: uncultured bacterium
Lineage: Bacteria
Description: bacterial SSU rRNA
Rfam family: Bacterial small subunit ribosomal RNA
Source: RNAcentral